RNAcentral lists this ribosomal RNA (531 nucleotides) under uncultured bacterium. Its description in RNAcentral is "bacterial SSU rRNA". It matches the Rfam family "Bacterial small subunit ribosomal RNA", at positions 355 to 879 of the family's 1533-position model. The record is from RNAcentral.
UGGGGAAUCUUGGGCAAUGGGCGAAAGCCUGACCCAGCGACGCCGCGUGGGGGAAGAAGGCCUUCGGGUCGUAAACCCCUGUUCUGGGGGAAGAACCCUGAGUGGGUUAAGAGCCUACUCAGGCUGACGGUACCCCAGGAGAAAGCCACGGCUAACUGCGUGCCAGCAGCCGCGGUAAUACGCAGGUGGCGAGCGUUGCCCGGAAUCACUGGGCGUAAAGGGUGCGUAGGCGGCAGGGUAAGUCGCAGGUUAAAGCCCGGGGCUCAACCCCGGAAAGGCCUGCGAUACUGCCUUGCUUGAGGGCCGGAGAGGCUGGCGGAAUUCCCGGUGUAGGGGUGAAAUCCGUAGAUAUCGGGAGGAACACCGGUGGGGAAGCCGGCCAGCUGGACGGUCCCUGACGCUGAGGCACGAAAGCGUGGGGAGCAAACCGGAUUAGAUACCCGGGUAGUCCACGCCGUAAACGAUGGGUGCUAGGUCUGGGGAGGAAACUCUCUGGGCCGAAGCUAACGCGUUAAGCACCCCGCCUGGGGA